UCCAUCUGAGCGCCGGAUCAGACGAACAAAGGCUGUCCCUCCGGAACGCAUUCCGGAGGGACAGCCUUUUCUCCUGAGU
RNAcentral lists this small RNA (79 nucleotides) under Paenibacillus sp. P22. RNAcentral describes it as "ctRNA". Lineage: Bacteria; Bacillati; Bacillota; Bacilli; Caryophanales; Paenibacillaceae. The record is from RNAcentral.